Long non-coding RNA from Siniperca chuatsi (mandarin fish), 2173 nucleotides. RefSeq lists it as uncharacterized. NCBI's taxonomy places the organism in Eukaryota, Metazoa, Chordata, Actinopteri, Centrarchiformes, Sinipercidae. The transcript is spliced from 2 exons. The record is from RefSeq and is a predicted model, not a curated record.
ACUCUGUGCUCGGCUUGCCGCAUCUAACAGGACAAAUGGGUCCACAUUAUUCCUCGUUUAUAGGUUUUCUUCCUUCCUCACUCCAGAACUGAAUUAACAAACAGUUGGAUAGGAAGUGUAGGCAUCGUCCUGAAGUAUAGAUUAUACCAUAAACUGCGUUUGCUUGCUAAAAUGAAGAGUACAUCCAAGACACGGUUGCUUCAUGAUUUUCUUCACCCAGUCCCUCCAUUGUAGUCUGACGGAUUCUUGGUUUCAGUAGGCCGUUUCACUGCCGCUCCAUCUGGUCAGAUGGGUGUACUGCAGAUGUCCCUGAUGUCUUUUUUCACAGAAGCCACGCCACGGAGAAUGUUUGUAGAGGGAGAAAAGGAAUGGUGUAUUGUCAGCAAGAGAGGAGCGCCGAAGGAAGCAGAGUGGAAACCUUCCUCUGAAGAAGCCGAGCCCAUCAUUUGGAGCCAGCACUGCCUCCUUGUGGCCAUGUCUUCACAUUACAGCUGAACGAGACACCAAAACCAUAACCAACAAGAUUGAAGAAAAAGAUGAAAAUAAACAUAAAUGGACACAAGCGGAAGGAAUCCAGGGGCCGUAUUCACAGACAUCCUAACGCUAAAAGUAGCUCCUAAUUAUAAGGGGCGUGUCAAUCGUAAUUUGAGGACGUUUAAGUUUUUGGUAGAGUAGGCUAUGUAGCUCCAAGGUGUUCAAUACUAUAUAGAUUAUAUAGAUAAUUACGAAAUUAAGAAUCACAUGAAUAAAUUGUGGAAAUAUAUAAAUGAAAAAAUCAUUUGUGAAAUAAUUUAAGAAAUUAGUACAAUUCAACUCAUUAUAAAAUGUUAUUUCAUCUUUAUUUCAAUAAUUCUCUUUUUCAAAAGUCUACUUUUAUUAUUAUAAUGGCAGUUUCCCCUUGUAAAUACACUUGUAUUUCAUGCUACUUUUUAUUUCAUAAUGUGACACUUCAUGACAGUGGUGAUGUCACCAGUCACCUUCCCCUCACCUCUCAGCCAAUCACAUGCCCCCUUGCUUCUCUUAAGCUAGCAAGCUCAACAACUGCUACCAUUAUUAGCCAAUUAGCAACUGUUAGCAAGAACAACAACAAUGCUAAAGUAUUCUGAAUGAACUAUCUAGCUGCUGCUGUGAAUAAACACAGUACACAAACAAAGAAACCACCAUCUUUUAUCUAUUGAGCAUAUCAAGGCUGCACAUGAGCUUUAUUACUCAUCAAAGUGAAAAACUAUUCAGGUUUAAAUUAAAUGUAACCAUAACCCUCAGCUGAUCAGUGUAUUCUUGCCUAAAAAUGAGGGAAUAUAUAAAAGGGUGAGUUACCAAAAUUACCUGGGAAAUCAAACCAAACUACCUGCAUGACUAGUAGAAACCACUACAGGCAGGUGAAAAAAAAAUGUUGCUUUCUACCUAAGCAGAUGUAAUAUAGAAAAAGAAAAACAGACCUACGAUCUUCUACUGAAAUAAAAACAUUUCAAUACAGGCAAAGAAACUUCGACUGUCGUCGAGACGUAGUGAUCAUCUGCCUCUCCAUCACCUGACUUCAACAAAAUCCAUUAAUGUAUUGUUUAUCUGCAAGUCUUUCUACUUACUCAGAUUGCAUUGAGGACAGCAUGAUCUCAUUCACUUUUACUGGGUGACUGAUGAUGGAAACUUUUUAGGCUAGAUCUAAAAUGAGCAGCAAGGCAUUUUGGUCAGGUGGCAUUUGCUGUCAGUUAUUGAGAAUAGUUGGCAGACAACACUGACAGUAUCUGUGGAUUAGCUCUAGUCACUGACACAUUGUUUCUGGAAAGGAACAGCUGAUCCCCAGUGUAAUGUUUUGAGGCUCUGAGCACCACAAACCAGAUUCUACCCAUCCGACUGUGUUCAGGUGAUUGCAGAAGUGUCAGCAGCUAAGAUCUAAUAACAUCAAAAUCAAUCUGCUCUGCUAGAUACAACAACUAGGGGUAUUUUCUUUUUUUGUGAUUAUUAAUGAGAAUGAAGAAAAAACAAGGCACCACACAGCACAUGAUAUUUCAACAAUUUAUUCAACAACUUCAUAGACAUUUUCUUAAGAAGUGUGCUGCUUUAUUUGAUGUUUUAUAAGUGCAGGAACCAAAGCUUUUUACAUGCACAUGGCCUCAGCACAGAUACAGGAGAAACGUUUUUGUCAUUUCACUUCUUUUUUUUUUUUUUUUUU